UACGAGGGGGCUAGCGUUGUUCGGAAUCACUGGGCGUAAAGCGCACGUAGGCGGACUUUUAAGUCAGGGGUGAAAUCCCAAGGCUCAACCUUGGAACUGCCUUUGAUACUGGGAGUCUUGAGUUCGGGAGAGGUGAGUGGAACUGCGAGUGUAGAGGUGAAAUUCGUAGAUAUUCGCAAGAACACCAGUGGCGAAGGCGGCUCACUGGCCCGAUACUGACGCUGAGGUGCGAAAGCGUGGGGAGCAAACAGGAUUAGAUACCCCAGUAGU
RNAcentral lists this ribosomal RNA (270 nucleotides) under uncultured bacterium. RNAcentral describes it as "partial 16S ribosomal RNA". It matches the Rfam family "Bacterial small subunit ribosomal RNA", at positions 524 to 794 of the family's 1533-position model. The record is from RNAcentral.